UCCUCAGGACAUAACCUAUUUGAAGAAGCU
RNAcentral lists this non-coding RNA (30 nucleotides) under Mus musculus (house mouse). Lineage: Eukaryota; Metazoa; Chordata; Mammalia; Rodentia; Muridae. The record is from RNAcentral.